Suricata suricatta (meerkat) is the source of this 235-nucleotide long non-coding RNA. RefSeq lists it as uncharacterized. NCBI's taxonomy places the organism in Eukaryota, Metazoa, Chordata, Mammalia, Carnivora, Herpestidae. The transcript is spliced from 3 exons. The record is from RefSeq and is a predicted model, not a curated record.
GUGGCCGCUGCCUUUGACUUUGUCAGAUGUACGCUUAGCGCCCCCAAGCCCCUGGAGCUUGUGCUGGUAUCCUGGGGCUUGGCUUCCGGGGGCUCUGGGCAUCCUGGAAGGCAAAAGAGACCCACCAGGAUUCACAGAUUACUUCCACCAUUCCAGAAAGUUUUCUCCUGCUACUUUCAAGUCUAUACUCACCAAAAGCUCAAUUUCAGCACCCCAAGGAAAAAAAAGCAUCCAU